AUAAGCCAUCUUCGGAUGGUGGACAGUGGCAGACGGGUGAGUAACGCGUGGGAAUAUACCCAGAGGUACGGAACAACGCCGGGAAACUGGUGCUAAUACCGUAUACGCCCUUCGGGGGAAAGAUUUAUCGCCUUUGGAUUAGCCCGCGUUAGAUUAGCUUGUUGGUGAGGUAAAAGCUCACCAAGGCGACGAUCUAUAGCUGGUCUGAGAGGAUGAUCAGCCACACUGGGACUGAGACACGGCCCAGACUCCUACGGGAGGCAGCAGUGGGGAAUCUUGCACAAUGGGCGAAAGCCUGAUGCAGCCAUGCCGCGUGAGUGAUGAAGCCUAGGGUUGUAAAACUCUUUCAGUGGGGAAGAUAAUGACGGUACCCACAGAAGAAGUCCCGGCUAACUCCGUGCCAGCAGCCGCGGUAAUACGGAGGGACUAGCGUUGUUCGGAAUUACUGGGCGUAAAGCGCGCGUAGCGGACUGAUCAGUUGGGGGUGAAAGCCCGGGGCUUAACCUCGGAACUGCCUUCAAUACUGUCAGUCUAGAGUCCGAGAGAAUUU
RNAcentral lists this ribosomal RNA (550 nucleotides) under uncultured Alphaproteobacteria bacterium. RNAcentral describes it as "bacterial SSU rRNA". It matches the Rfam family "Bacterial small subunit ribosomal RNA", at positions 69 to 659 of the family's 1533-position model. Lineage: Bacteria; Pseudomonadati; Pseudomonadota; Alphaproteobacteria. The record is from RNAcentral.